RNAcentral lists this transfer-messenger RNA (400 nucleotides) under Alloscardovia omnicolens. RNAcentral's name for it is "Standard tmRNA". It matches the Rfam family "transfer-messenger RNA". Rfam says of the family: Bacterial tmRNA, also known as 10Sa RNA or SsrA, is named for its dual tRNA and mRNA-like properties. Its role is to liberate the mRNA from a stalled ribosome. To accomplish this part of the tmRNA is used as a reading frame that ends in a translation stop signal. Lineage: Bacteria; Bacillati; Actinomycetota; Actinomycetes; Bifidobacteriales; Bifidobacteriaceae. RNAcentral also lists the same sequence under 1 other name. The record is from RNAcentral.
GGGGUCGAUUGGUUUCGACGGUGAUCUGUUCGCUGUAGAGAAGCGUGCCGAGAACGCGGGGUCCACUCGUUAACGUGCCACCCGUAAAAAAUAAGUGCUAAAUCUAAUCGCACUGAGUUUGCACUCGCUGCCUAAGCUUCGCGCUAGGGUUUAACCAGCUGAGUGUUCAACUCCGUUCACUCUCUCAUGUCUUUGGGGAGAUGCUGAACGUCAUGUAAAGACUUGCUUUAUGUGCUGAGUUUCAGGGCAUAUAAAGGACUUUUACUGCAACUAUUCCUGCAAACCGUGGUUUGCGACGAUGUUUGAGGAAGACAAAUUGCCAUAAGGUCAGCAAACUACGCACGUAGAAGGCUAGAGGUACGGUCAUCGGACCCGGGUUCAAUUCCCGGCGGCUCCACGA